UAACAUAAACUAAGUUCUCAUCCACCAGUUCCAAAAAAAAAAAGAGAUUGAAAAAAAAUAUCUCGAUCUCUAGUUCAUCUUCCACAAUCUACGUGUUCCGCCGUUCUUCUUUCUACUCAUCAUCAUUAAACCCAGAUGCCUCACAAUCUCCCGAUUAUUGUUUUCGCUGAGGCUAGGCUAGCUUUGGGAAUCUAAUCACUUGUCUCACUACACCAAGGAAACGAUACCCUGCUACAAACAUUACCACAUGGCAAGGGAUUUUUUUCCUACUUAUUUCUUUAAUUUCUGGGUUUUGAUCCUUUUCCUUUGUUGUGAUCCCUUUAUUAUGUUCAUUAGAUAACCUUGUAUGAAUGAUCAUCAUGAAACAUUAACUUUGUGGACAACAAUUUGUGGAUUUUAGCUUUAUGGAUGUCUUAUAAUGACAACAUUAAAUAUA
Long non-coding RNA from Capsella rubella, 436 nucleotides. RefSeq lists it as uncharacterized. NCBI's taxonomy places the organism in Eukaryota, Viridiplantae, Streptophyta, Magnoliopsida, Brassicales, Brassicaceae. The record is from RefSeq and is a predicted model, not a curated record. The transcript is spliced from 2 exons.